This 404-nucleotide ribosomal RNA is filed under the name uncultured bacterium. RNAcentral describes it as "bacterial SSU rRNA". It matches the Rfam family "Bacterial small subunit ribosomal RNA", at positions 26 to 424 of the family's 1533-position model. The record is from RNAcentral.
AAGAUUGAACGCUCGGCGGAAUGCUUUUACACAUGCAAAGUCGGGCGGCAGCGCGGGGGCAAACCUUGGCGGCGAGCGGCGAACGGGUGAGUAACGCAUCGGAACGUAACCCUGUCGUGGGGGAUAACUAUCCGAAAAGGAUAGGCUAAUACCGCAUACGACCUGAGGGUGAAAGCGGGGGAUCGCAAGACCUCGACGCGAUAGGAGCGGCCGAUGCCGGAUUAGCUAGUUGGUGAGGUAAAGGCUCAUCAAGGCGACGAUCCGUAGCUGGUCUGAGAGGACGACCAGCCACACUGGGACUGAGACACGGCCCAGACUCCUACGGGAGGCAGCAGUGGGGAAUUUUGGACAAUGGGGGCAACCCGUGAUCCAGCCAUUCCGCGUGAGUGAAGAAGGCCUCGGUU